RNAcentral lists this ribosomal RNA (492 nucleotides) under uncultured bacterium. Its description in RNAcentral is "partial 16S ribosomal RNA". It matches the Rfam family "Bacterial small subunit ribosomal RNA", at positions 29 to 507 of the family's 1533-position model. The record is from RNAcentral.
AGUGAACGCUGGCGGUAGGCCUAACACAUGCAAGUCGAACGGCAGCACAGUAAGAGCUUGCUCUUACGGGUGGCGAGUGGCGGACGGGUGAGGAAUACAUCGGAAUCUACUUUUUCGUGGGGGAUAACGUAGGGAAACUUACGCUAAUACCGCAUACGACCUACGGGUGAAAGCAGGGGAUCUUCGGACCUUGCGCGAUUGAAUGAGCCGAUGUCGGAUUAGCUAGUUGGCGGGGUAAAGGCCCACCAAGGCGACGAUCCGUAGCUGGUCUGAGAGGAUGGUAAGCCACACUGGAACUGAGACACGGUCCAGACUCCUACGGGAGGCAGCAGUGGGGAAUAUUGGACAAUGGGCGCAAGCCUGAUCCAGCCAUACCGCGUGGGUGAAGAAGGCCUUCGGGUUGUAAAGCCCUUUUGUUGGGAAAGAAAAGCAGCAGGUUAAUACCCCGCUGUUCUGACGGUACCCAAAGAAUAAGCACCGGCUAACUUCGUG